Molecule: long non-coding RNA, 3971 nt
Filed under: Medicago truncatula (barrel medic)
Lineage: Eukaryota; Viridiplantae; Streptophyta; Magnoliopsida; Fabales; Fabaceae
Description: long non-coding RNA (MTRU_LNC008072)
Source: RNAcentral
GACUUAGAAAUUUCAUUUAAUUAAUCAGAGUAAUCAUCAAAUAACGGAAUGCUACACUUCUAAAAAUCAUAAAACAGAUAAUUAACAAAUUAUCUUUCAACAUAAUUAAUUCAAAUACUUCGCAGCGGAUUAAGUUCAUCAUCAUAAAUAAGUUUUGGCACGCAGGCCUCAUCAAACGCAUUAUAAGUUCAGUAAAUCAACAUCAAAACAUAGCAUGUACGUAAAGGAAAGAGAAAUAGCCACUAAAGACCCCUCCCGUUACGUAUCAGAGCCCUAAGACACUUGAGCCACCACUCCUACUACACUUUAAUACCUGCAAGUUACCCAUACGAAGGGCAACAUUUUCAAGCAGAAGGGGUGAGAUUCACAAUCAAUAAUAAUAAUGUAUAAUUCAUCAAAUGCAACUAACAACUUAAACUCCAUUAAUUAGUAAUAGUAAUUCUUUUAACGGCUCCUAAACCAUAUCAUAUACUCAUCAUAUCAACAAUCAUAACUCGAUAUCAUAAACAACAUCAUUUAACUUCAUAAUUAACAUCUUAAUCAUAAUCAUAUAACAUCAUACUCAUAAUUCGUAUACAACAUGACAACUUCAUAAUGAAUGACCUAAACAACGUAACAACAUCAUAUUCAUAGUUCAUAUACAACAUAACAACAUCAUUAAUUCAUGUUAACAUUCUCCACCUAGCACCUUAUUAACAACUCAUGAAUAGAGGACAACUUAGCAACUAUAUGUAACAUCAUCAUUUCAUAAUAAUAAUUAUUCAUCAAACGUUCCAUUAGCAAUUCAUGAAUAAAAGACAACCUAUCAACUUAACAUAACCAUCAUCAAGUACAUUUAACAACUCAUAGAUAACAUCACAUAAUCAUCAUCACAACAUUCAUAAUCAUCAUCAUGUAACAUCAUAACAACCUCAUAUUCAACACCAUAAACAGUCAUCAUAACAUCAUAAUCAAUAUCAUAAUAAUAUAAACAACAACAUAUAUUCAACAAUAAUGUUCUUACUUCUUUAACUUUAGUAACACUUGCUAAUUCAACCAACAACGACGACAACAACAAGAUUCAACGACAACGACAACAAAUCUCUCAAGAACAACGGCAACUACAAUUAUCCAAUAUAUGUAUAUAUUUCAUGAUCAACAAUAUCAUCAAUAAUAGAUAUCCAAUUCAUCAAUUAAAUCUAACAUCCUGUCAUAAUAAUAAUUCAUCAAUAUAUAAGUAUAUUAUCAUUAACAACAUCAACAACAAAUGGUAAUUAAAACCAACAACAACGACUCAUGCAAGACAUGACAUUCCCCCUAAUACUCCUCAAUAAAUGCAACUAUGCAUGUGGUACCAUAAUUCAGGGCCGUGACCCACACCGCUGUCGAAUGGUUAAAGCAUUCUCAACAGGACCUAAGUCCUCACCGCUCCACACCGCUUUGAACAACUAGUGUUCCACCGCUUUGAACGACAAGGCGUUCCAGAGCCGAAGCUCUCCCACUUUGAUGUUUAUGCAACUACCCAACCUGUGUAUCUCUACAUACAACUCCACAACAAAUGCAUAUGUACUUAUAUGACUCACCACGACAAUCCAAUUAAUAAUACUUCAACCUUUGAAAAGAAUUCAGCAACAUGUAUAAUUUAUUUAAAUAUAAAUAUACAUCAUAGUCAACAAUAAUCCAUCAUAAUUGAUCCAACGAAUCUUAAUAGCAAGAUCCAUCAACACAUUCACAACAACAUAUAUAUUCACCCACCAUAUCAUAAUACAUCAAUUCAGUAAGCAAUCAUGUUCUUGGUAAACAAUGCAGUCACAUAUAAUCAAUAAUAAACGGAAACAUGGCAGCACUCAAACAUUCUUAAGAUAUAACAAUAUCAAAUGGUAAUUAACAUCAACUUAAACAUCUUAUAUAAUCCACAUAACGAACAUAUUUCACAUUAACCAACAUUAACCAACAUUACCCAACAUUAGGUUAAAUACUCUUAAACACCUUAAUUGAAUUCAUAAUACUUCUAGUUUUCGAGGUUUGAAAUUAUUCCCUAAGUUUUGGAUUAACUUAGAAACGGUUAUGCUGAAUUUUCAUAAGAUUUCACUAAGACCUACUUGGAGUAUUUCCAUCAUAACUUCUAAACCAAAAAUCAUUUUGAAGUCAAACCAAAGCCAUUGGAAAGCUAACAAAAUUAUCUACAACUUUUAUGUUUACACCAAAGGCCAAUUCAAAACAGAAACGUGUGAAAAAGACACAAGAACGCAAAAUAAGAAAUGCUGUAAAAAGGCAUUUCGCUUAAGCGAACGGUGCUUCGCUUAAGCGAACUACUUACAGUAGCUGUUCGCUUACAGCUCGCUUCCGGCUCGCUUAAGCGAACAGUCAUCGUUCCUGCAUAAUUUUUCACGGGUUUAAACCAUUUUUCACCCCAAAACUCCCAAUUUUGAUCUCCCAAUGCCCAAACAUGUUUCCAAAUAUUGUUUAUAGGUUCAUUAUACAAUUAGACAUCUAAAGGAACAUAAAACAUGCAUCAACAACAACAAAUACAGAUCAUUCCACCAUCAUACAAAUCUUCAUCAAUUCAUCCCAUCAAUCAUAAUUUCAAUCAAUUUAUGAUCACAACAACAGUAUAGAUUAAGUUUUCAUUCUAAACAUUACGUUACAACAGAAUUAACAUGAUCAAUACCCAUUCCCCUCAAAAUCAUCAUCAAACCCUAACCCUCAAUUUAUUUUCCAAAACUAUGCAAUUAGGUCAAUUUUCAGAAAUUAUAGAUUAUGAUUAUUGAGAGAUAGUCUCACCCUUACCUUAAUUUAGAUGAACAAAAGCACAACAAUCCGAUUCCCUUGGCUCUACUUGCUCUUCUCUCCCUUGUCCUUGGUUUUUCUCUCCCAAAACUUGUUUCACGUAAAACUGCUUCUAACCUUUUCUUUUCCUAACUCCCAAAAUAUAACUCCUCCUUUAUUUCAUUAAACUCCCCUUAAUUCUAUUAAUUCCUAAUUAACUCCCCAACCUCCAAAAUAAUAUUAAUUCUCACAUUAUUCUAAUUUAUAUUAAAAUAAACUAUAUAAUGAAAUAAUACACACCACAUAAUCAACCAAUAUUAUUUAAAAUCACAUAAAUUAUAUAAAUAUAUCCUAACUCAAUAAAAAUAAUUAAAUAAUCAAAUAAUUCAAGGAGGGCGUUACAACUCUACCCCUCUUAAAAGAAUUUCGUCCUCGAAAUUCAAAGCAAAAGAAAAUGAAUUCAGUUAGUGCAUAAAUACCCUUAAACUAUAUAUAGCAAGAUAUAACCUUCAAUCAAAACAUACAAACCACAUUAAGUUAAUCAAUCAACAUAAUCACUUAAUAAACAUAACAAUUUAUCAGGAAACACAACAAACAACAAUCAGGACAAAACAGACAACAUUAAGUUGACACUCUAGCCUAUGUGGCUCAACACGACUCUACUAUUUGGCCGGACGGACCAACCUGCUCUGAUACCAAUUGUAACAUCCCGUUUUCCCGACUUAGAAAUUUCAUUUAAUUAAUCAGAGUAAUCAUCAAAUAACGGAAUGCUACACUUCUAAAAAUCAUAAAACAGAUAAUUAACAAAUUAUCUUUCAACAUAAUUAAUUCAAAUACUUCGCAGCGGAUUAAGUUCAUCAUCAUAAAUAAGUUUUGGCACGCAGGCCUCAUCAAACGCAUUAUAAGUUCAGUAAAUCAACAUCAAAACAUAGCAUGUACGUAAAGGAAAGAGAAAUAGCCACUAAAGACCCCUCCCGUUACGUAUCAGAGCCCUAAGACACUUGAGCCACCACUCCUACUACACUUUAAUACCUGCAAGUUACCCAUACGAAGGGCAACAUUUUCAAGCAGAAGGGGUGAGAUUCACAAUCAAUAAUAAUAAUGUAUAAUUCAUCAAAUGCAACUAACAACUUAAACUCCAUUAAUUAGUAAUAGUAAUUCUUUUAACGGCUCCUAAACCAUAUCAUAUACUCAUCAUAUCAACAAUCAUAACUCGAUAUCAU